AUCCAUUUGACGAGUCCAAGAUAGGACGAAACGCGCGUCCUGGAU
This 45-nucleotide non-coding RNA is filed under the name Schistosoma mattheei. Lineage: Eukaryota; Metazoa; Platyhelminthes; Trematoda; Strigeidida; Schistosomatidae. The record is from RNAcentral.